Long non-coding RNA from Peromyscus eremicus (cactus mouse), 711 nucleotides. RefSeq lists it as uncharacterized. NCBI's taxonomy places the organism in Eukaryota, Metazoa, Chordata, Mammalia, Rodentia, Cricetidae. The record is from RefSeq and is a predicted model, not a curated record. The transcript has 3 exons.
CUGAACCUGUGUUACUGUACCUUUGUGAAGUACCUGAUGGUCUAAUAAAGAACUGGCCAAUAGCAAGGCAGGAGAAAGGAUAGGUGGGGCUGGCAGACAGAGAGUAUAAAUAGAAGGAGAAAUCUGGGAAGAGGAAACUAAGAUGGAGAAGGAGCUAGAGUACAGGGGGACUCAAGAGGCCAGCCACCCACCUACACAGCAAGCCAUGGAGUAAGAGUAAGAUUUACAGAAAAGGCUAUUGAAAACAUGUAUUUGAAGGUCAGAAGACACAUCAUAAUGCUAUGAAUCUGAAGAGGUUCCAGAAUAUAUGCCACACAGGUCGAUAAAGCCCAAACUCCAGAGGAGCUUUACUUCAGUUAUCCUCUCUGCCCAUAGGAUCUCUAUGACUGGUAAGUGAUCUGUCUUCUUAAAUACAAGGUAAAGAGAACUUACUGCAUAGCACUGUUGUGAGGAUUAAGUAGUUCAGUCAGGGAGAUGCAUUUAGAAUACUGCCUGGCAAUGCAAGUUUGGACUCUUAUUAAACAAAUUACAAAAAAAAUCUAACAAAACACUAAUCGUGACAAAUAGACUAGCAUACAUUUAAUUCAGGAAUGCUGGCACUGGACAAUAAAUAUGUUAGAUAUUUUAAAAGUGGUGUUAAAUCUUCUGGAUGACGGCUUAUAUUAACUUCAAAGAAUCUAACACUUUUGAUACAAAGUGGACUCCAUGGAA